GAUGAACGCGGCGGCGUGCCUCAUACAUGCAAGUCGAGCGAACAGACGAGGAGCUUGCUCCUUUGACGUAGCGGCGGACGGGGUGAGUAACACGUGGAUAACCUACCUAUAAGACUGGGAUAACUUCGGGAAACCGGAGCUAAUACCGGAUAACAUGUUGAACCGCAUGGUUCAACAGUGAAAGACGGUCUUGCUGUCACUUAUAGAUGGAUCCGCGCCGCAUUAGCUAGUUGGUAAGGUAACGGCUUACCAAGGCAACGAUGCGUAGCCGACCUGAGAGGGUGAUCGGCCACACUGGAACUGAGACACGGUCCAGACUCCUACGGGAGGCAGCAGUAGGGAAUCUUCCGCAAUGGGCGAAAGCCUGACGGAGCAACGCCGCGUGAGUGAAGAAGGUCUUCGGAUCGUAAAACUCUGUUAUUAGGGGAGAACAAAUGUGUAAGUAACUAUGCACGUCUUGACGGUACCUAAUCAGAAAGCCACGGCUAACUACGUGCCAGCAGCCGCGGUAAUACGUAGGUGGCAAGCGUUAUCCGGAAUUAUUGGGCGUAAAGCGCGCGUAGGCGGUUUUUUAAGUCUGAUGUGAAAGCCCACGGCUCAACCGUGGAGGGUCAUUGGAAACUGGAAAACUUGAGUGCAGAAGAGGAAAGUGGAAUUCCAUGUGUAGCGGUGAAAUGCGCAGAGAUAUGGAGGAACACCAGUGGCGAAGGCGACUUUCUGGUCUGUAACUGACGCUGAUGUGCGAAAGCGUGGGGAUCAAACAGG
This 765-nucleotide ribosomal RNA is filed under the name Staphylococcus epidermidis. RNAcentral's name for it is "bacterial SSU rRNA". It matches the Rfam family "Bacterial small subunit ribosomal RNA", at positions 28 to 776 of the family's 1533-position model. Lineage: Bacteria; Bacillati; Bacillota; Bacilli; Caryophanales; Staphylococcaceae. The record is from RNAcentral.